Non-coding RNA from Salmo salar (Atlantic salmon), 530 nucleotides. NCBI's taxonomy places the organism in Eukaryota, Metazoa, Chordata, Actinopteri, Salmoniformes, Salmonidae. The record is from RefSeq and is a predicted model, not a curated record.
CUCUCUAUGACAACCGUGACACCCGAAGCCAAAUCUAGUUGACAAACCCUGUUUUAUAGUAUGUCAUGGCCUUUUCUGGCCAACUGCUGUUAUGUUUAUGAUAUACUAUGGUAUUGUGUCACUAGACUUUGACCAGAUAUUAUUGCAUCCAAAGAUCAACUGUACCUAGAACAUAGAUACAGAGACACUUGUCAUCAGGAAGCUGCUCUCUCAGCACAACGGAAAAUAUGACUUGACAUGUUCUGGUUGUGAAUUCAGGCUACAAGGGGUCAGUGCUCUAAAAUGAGUCUCUCUGUGGAGAGAGAGGAGGGGGGCCCUGCCUCUAAAAUUAGUCUCUCUGGGGAGAGAGAGGAGGGGGGCCCUGCCUCUAAAAUUAGUCUCUCUGGGGAACAUGACAACAAAGCUAAGAGGAGAGAGACGUGACUAUUGUGGAUCCUCUGGGGAGCCUCAACAACCUCAUGAUGCUGACGAGGCAGAGAAGAGUCUCUGCUCUGACUGUGGGAAGAGAUUCACCUCAUCAGGCAUUAAAA